RNAcentral lists this unclassified non-coding RNA (468 nucleotides) under Hevea brasiliensis (rubber tree). Lineage: Eukaryota; Viridiplantae; Streptophyta; Magnoliopsida; Malpighiales; Euphorbiaceae. The record is from RNAcentral.
GUUUGUUUUUGAAAGAAAUGGCCAAUGCAAUUCGUUUCUUUCAGUUGAACACCGGAGCCAAAAUCCCUUCUGUUGGGCUGGGUACUUGGCAGUCUGCCCCUGGUGUUGUUGGUGAUGCUGUUAUUGCUGCCGUUAAGGUUGGAUAUAGACACAUAGAUUGUGCUGCAGUUUAUGGCAAUGAGAAGGAGGUUGGUUCGGCAUUGAAGAAGCUGUUUGAUGAUGGCGUAGUGAAGCGUGAGGAGUUGUGGAUCACCUCCAAACUCUGGUGUACUGAACAUGCACCAGAAGAUGUACCCGCAGCACUAAACAGAACUCUGCAGGACUUGCAACUCGAUUAUGUAGAUCUGUAUCUGAUUCACUGGCCAGCCAGCAUGAAGAAAGGGUCGGUUGGUUUUAAGCCCGAGAACCUUACACACCCUGAUAUACCCAGCACAUGGCGAGCAAUGGAAGCAUUGUUUGAUUCUGGCA